Amphiprion ocellaris (clown anemonefish) is the source of this 2863-nucleotide long non-coding RNA. Lineage: Eukaryota; Metazoa; Chordata; Actinopteri; Pomacentridae. The record is from Ensembl.
GGCGCGCUAGCGGAUCUAGUCUACUAUAUAUAGCUAUGGUUGGCAAGCAUCUCUGGCUGUUGUUGACCUUGUUUUUGGAGUAAAACACGGUGGAAGCUGAAUUAGUGAGGAUGACUCCUGCUCCUGUCAUCUCUAAGCUCCUCACACAUCUUUACCUGCACAUGAGGAAAAUCACUCCUGUAGAAUGCAGAUGUUCAGAGGGAGAUGAUGCCACAUCUGGUCCAGCCGAUGGAAGGUCUUGAAGUUCUCCGACUGGCCUCGACUGAAGAUGGUCGUCUCACUGGAUUUAAGGUUCAGAUGCUCAGUAACAAACUCCACCAAUGAGCCAACAGGGAAGCUUUAGGUUUAUUAAAUGUUGCUAUGAAGGUAUCGCUGUUUUUCUUUGUGAAUGCAAUGUGCUCCAACUGAAAGUUGAAUUAGAACUUUGAAGUAAAUCCUUCCAUCUUAAAGGAUUUAGUUGCAUUAAUAACCUCAUAACAUUCUAAUUUUUAUUCCAGUCUUGGUUGGAAAUAGAAUCUCUGUAUUGAUUCAGGUAAAAACUGUACUUCACAGCAUGUUGGAGCAAAACAACCAGAUGAAAACUGUGAUGGUGUUGGAUUGUCAGACCGUAAUGUUGCAGCGCAAAGCAGCUUUUCUAGCUCAGUUCAUUCUGACAUUCAGCUAUGAAUCAACACAGCAGAUGGUGAUCCAUGCUGUGGAAGUCUCACAUCUCCUGAUUUAAUGGAGCUGCUUUGCACUUUUUACACUGUUUAUUCACCAACACUUUAUUUAAUAAAAGUCCCAUCUAGUUUUUAUGAGGAAUGUGGUGUUUUAAUUUCUCUGUGAAUAACUGCAGUCUAAUGUAACACCUGGAAUUGUAACAUCUGUCCUGAUAUUGAUCAUGAAGUAUUGAUCAGAAUACUUAUGGUUAGCAGUCAUCCCUGAAGUUUUACAGUAAAAUCUUUACUUGUGUUGUGAACUUUGGUAAGAAGCAGAAACUUUUGCGUUGCCAUGGAUACAUGAGUGUUAAAUUCUGUCCAUGGUUCCAUUUUGGGAAAUGAAGUCCAGGAGAUGAGUUUGUUUUUACUGCCAGCUACCAUUCAGUCUGAGAUAUUAAGAAUAAAUAAAUUAUUCCUACAGCUACUACAGGGAAAGUUCCAGACUGUGGAGGAAUUUAGUCUCAUAAUCACAGACAACAAAUAUUAUCUGAAAGUCGGGUUAUUGUUUAUCAGCACAAUACAAAAAGAUUAAUGUUAGAAAUAUUCCGGUUAAGACUCUAGAAUAUCAUGAUUUAUGUAAAUUUACCUCAAUAAUAUGAAUGUUCAGGUUAAGUUUGUGCACUGAUAUUUAUUAUGUAAGUUUAGCUGAUUAAAGUUGAUGACUCUGCACUACAAUAUUAUUUAUUAUUUAAAUUUACAUCAUUAUUAUAUUUAGGGUCAGACCCUACAGUAUUGAGAUUAAGAAAUCAAAUAUUCUAUAAAAUGUAAAUGCACUGAACUCAUUUGGAUAUAUUUAAGUGAGACUCUACAAUAUUAUUUGACACAAAUCUAUCUAAAUCAAAAUUUUAAUCAUUUUUACUCCAAACGUUGACUAGACUGAAACAUUAAAAUCACUCCUUUCUAAUACUCUGCUGUAUGUUCAAACCUGAGGCCUGAAAUAGAAAUGUACAAGUAUCUGAUUGAAGGAACUUCUGCAGAGUCCUGGUUCUAGAACAUGAUGAUAGAAUUAUAGACAAACUUUAACAAAAGCUGCCUGAGAGUUUACAGGUUUUUAUGUUAGAUUUCUUCUGUAAUUUAAUGAGUUAUCAGCAAUAAUCAAGUGUUUAUUUGAUGAACUUCAUUUCCUAAAACAUCCAGAAUUGGAGCUCAUAUCUUUGGCAGCUGUAAAGUUUCUGCUCCUUCAAAGUUCACAACACAAUGAAUGAAUUCCUAAAACACUCUUAAUGCUGGAGAGCGUUUGUGAUGCUGAAGCAGUGAUCAGUUUUUCUGUUUCUUCUCUGGAGAUGCACAAUGAGGGACGUCUGCAGAGACUGAGAAAGAGUCUCACCACAUCCUGACAUGAGGAAAAAAGACUUUAUUGAAGACUACAAUGAGAAAAACUAUCAGACAGCAGACGGCUGCAUUCAAGUCUGUAGCUGCUGAAUUCAUGGAUGAAUCAUCUGGCACUGGAGAAGAAGACCAUCAAACAUCCACGUCAGCUGAUGGAGGUCCAAGAGUCUCACCAAACAAACAACCUACAGAGUGAAGACCUCGAAUCUGAUUGGACGGCCUCCUAUUCAGCCACAUGCUACAGGAGGAGCCCUACGAGGACGAGCCGGUCCACCUGAUGGCAGCCAGUCGCUGUGGUUCAAAGCCAACACCGACUACGUGGACUUCUACUGGACCACACGGAGGCCUUCAAACCAGACCAACAAGUUCAGCGACUCCCCGACUCGUGGGUCUGAGGACGCCACCGAGCCUCGACCCAGCCGGCCUCCUGUCUGUGGAUGUUUGAGUGCUGAGAGGUUUGUGGAUGCAUGUGAAUGUGUCUGUGUUGAAACAGCAGCUUUGGACUCAGUAACGCCGGGAAAAACCAAGAGCUCCUUUAUUUGUGACUUCCACUAAAAAACUGAUGAAAAUAAGUUUGCCAGGGUUCUGACUGAUAAUAGAUUAUUAAAUAAUGAAAAUAACAGUUUAAAUAUUCCUUUAAACAAUCCUUUUAGGUCUACAUUUCCUUUACACUGACUUCUUGGAAUAUGUACAAGUAUUUUGAGUGGACUAUACCAUUAAGCCCAACGUUCAAGGGUUCUUCUGGGAAUAUACCAUUAAACCAACCUUUUAGGUAAAUGUUCCAGGAUGUUGGGUAGAAUAUACCAUCAGAUAAACCUUUUAGGUCUACAUUGGAA